Phalacrocorax carbo (great cormorant) is the source of this 8504-nucleotide non-coding RNA. The record is from RefSeq and is a predicted model, not a curated record. Lineage: Eukaryota; Metazoa; Chordata; Aves; Suliformes; Phalacrocoracidae.
GGCUGCCCCCGCCGGGCCGGGCGGGAUGAGGCGAGGCGGGGCAUGAAAUGGUGGCCGCCCGGCAGUAACGCCUCCUGCGCCGCUCCUCGGGGGCUGGCUGCGCUGCCUCCGCCUCCGGGUGUCCCGCUGCCGGCGCGGCGGUGGCUCGGGGUGCCUAGCAGCGCCCAGAAAAAGCCCGUGUUUCAGGCGGUGUUUUGCCGUGUGGGAGAUGCGCUGCGGGGCGCGCAGGGCUGCAAACGAGGGGAGGAGAUGCGCUGAGCGCUCAGCUAGCUACGGGGUUAAUGCUACCGGGGGGAAAGUUAGUUGGUAGCUGCAAACGGGGCCGCCAGUAAGGAGAAGGCGUUAGUUGCUCCUUCGGGGCGGCAGAGGUACAGUUCAUAGGCUUUAGCAAGGGAGGGCGUUGGUGGGGGGAGAAGAGCCGCCCUACGCUGCACAGCCGGUGCCCCCAGCCGCUGGUGUCCGGCGCGAUUAGGUUUUGCUGGAAGGAAACGUGAGAGCAACCUGCGUGUGCUUAUGGUGGCUCAUGGGUUUCCUCAGAGUCCGGCCAUGUGCUGACACUCGAGCAAGCAGGUCUCUAUUGUACCUAAUUCAAGAAGAAAAAUCUUGUUUAAAAUGGCAACUUAAACGUUCACCUUCAGUUUCCUCUCUGUGACGUGCGAAUAGAUUUCAGAGAGACUGAUGCACCUACAAAUAUGUACAGACAACUGACAGAAGGCACUAUUUCCAGUUGCACUUCCUCAGUCGCACAGGGACUUGUGUCAGCACCUAGGGAUGACUUGCAGAAUCUGGACCCUUGUUCGGAAGAAGAGUUUCUGUGAGAUUGGGUUGUAGUAAACUGAUGCUUAACCUUUUUUACUUGCCUAUGUGAUAGUGCAUAUGUGAAACAGCAGUUACAGUGACUCACUGCUGGGAAUAAGUUACAACUGUAAAUCAAAGGAGAAGAGCACAAGGUGCAACCAGUUACACAUUGCAGGCAAAGCCUGCAACUGUUCUAUCAGCUACUUCUUCCCACUUGGUUUCCACCUCUCAUUUAUUUCUUUGUGAUUUUUUUGAAAUAUUCAUCUGAGCUAAGCUGCCUGCUAAACCUUAUGCUUCUGGACUUUCCAUUUCAGGUAGUCUCAUUCUAUAAGAUGUGGAACUCUGUCGCUCCUGAAGCGAUGCUGAUGAAUUUCCAACUACAGUACUUAACGAGGAAGUAAAGUAGACUGUUUCGGUUAGUGAGAGAUUCCUAUGAAGAAUUUCCAACUGAUGCUUGGCUGUGACACCGUGGUGGCUCCCACCCCUGAGAACAGGGAGCAAGACUGGAGGGCAAGAACGCCUUGCUGUUCGUUUUUGUGGCCACCGGGUGUCAUUCUAGGAGCAGACUUCAGCCAGCCCGGGAGCACCACUAUGGCAGCAGCAUUGGAGGUGUCGGGCACCCUUAGGAAAAUGAGGUGCAUCUGGAAACAUUCAAAAGCGAAUAUUCAGACAAAAACUUUGAAGGGGAGAGCUGAGGACUAAGGCAUUUCAGUACGUUCCGAUCAGCAGCAUGAACCACAAACUGUGUCCAGCAAUUGGUGAGUGGCAGAUGCCCAAAUACCAUGUAUUUCAUCUCCUUUCAAUAUCCUUGACUCAUGCAUCCUGUCUGAGCUAAUGUUAGUUUCCUGAUUGCAGUGUGUCUGCACCCUUGGACUCUCAGCAAGGGCCUGAGCCAUCCCAGAAAGCUCACUGUUCCUCUCUAGAUUUCAGCUUCAAUGUGCUUUUAGCAACUGUCUCUCAAAGCUACCUUUUUAUGCCAGUUCACAUCUGGAAUCUCUGGUUUUACACUGGUAUAUCACUCCCCUGCUUUUCUUCUGAUUGUAAAAUGAUUUUAGACCACCACAUAAAAAUACCAUUCAAUUAUGACUUUAUUUGACCUCUAAGAAGAAAAUGAGCUACCACCACCACCAGUUACACUCAUCAUACUGCAUUACAUUAUCCUGCUUGAACAAAAUGCCCCCAAAACAGAUCUGAGCCAGAAUAGACCCAUUACUUGUUUGUAAGGUACUUGUGUCUUUAUUUCCUUGAUACUGUGAAGUUGUCCUCUCCAAAUUGCUGUCAUGUUCUAGAUACUAUAGCAGUGAUUUCACAUUGCUUAAGAUCAUUUGUAUUUCUAUGAGCAAGAAGGUAAAGUAUGAAGUGCAGUGAGGGCUAGUCCAAGGUGCUGAGCUUUGACAGUAAAAGGAUGCCUAUUAGAACAGAAGGAAAAAAAAGAGUAGGUCUAUUUUUAGCUCUGAUUCACGAAUAUCAGCCAGCAGCAGAAGAGAAAAGAACAGAGUUGGCAGGUAGCAAAUUUUCAUGAGCAAGUACUCUAGCUGUGAUUAAAGCACAAUGAAUUGCAGUUCUGUUGCAAAGACAUUAAUAGCAUUAACUAGGGAUGCAAAACAGUUGUCUUUUUUCCUCCUUUUAAGCCAUACAGUUAAUACAAAACUCAAAUUAGGGUCAUUGCCUUUAUUUUUACAUGCCACAGCAACAGGCCAAGUAAAAAUACAUGACAGGUUGGUACAAAUGCAUUAUUAAACUACUAAUUUCAAACUUCAAUUGGGUUCACUUCCACGUUCAGUUAUUUACCAUAAAGCCCUUUUUCCUUACUAUUAAAAUCAGUAUUUCCUUACCAUCAAAAAUAUUUCUCUCCAGAUGUUGUGACAGGGCAGUAUUCUUACCUCUAUUUUACAGAAGAAGGAACCAAGAGACAAGGACCAUACAGGAAGUCUGUGGCCCAGCCAAGACUCAAAGUCUCCUGAGACUCAUUCCAACACUUUCACCACAAAGUCAAGCACUUUCUCCUCCGUAGCCUUUUGAUCUUUCCAUCAUGAAUGACUAAGCUAUAAAGACUCUUUGUCUAAAGAGCAGGCUUUAAGAACAAAAACACACUUAAGAUUAUUUGCACAAACUAAUCAAACAAGUUUUUUAAGCAACACUUGAGUCUUACCCAAUUCCAACUAGGUACUGAAAGUGUGCAAGCUUAUAUGGAACUAUAGGCACCUAAUGUUGUAAACACGUUCAAAAGUUUUAACAAAUAUGAACUCGAGGCCAAUGAACCGUGUUCAAACAGCCCACAAAGAAACAUACCACAGAGCCAUCUUUAGUCUUUAAAAGAUCAAUGCAUAUACAUUAUUUGGGCAAUAAGCAAGAAGUCUACAGGGUCCCGAUUCAAAUUUAUUUGCUUAAGUAAUGGACUAUUAAUCUAAGCAAUAAUUACCUCAAUAAUUAAGUGGGUGGGGGGCAGUGUCUCACUUUAAACCACGACAGCGAGGGAAGAAAUAGUAACAAUCAUAGCAGCAGCUGCAUACUCUAACAUUUUGAGUAGGAAAUUUACUUAACCUGAGGUGACAGAUACAGGUUGGUUGGUCAGUUGUUUGUUUAAAUCAAGAAUAAUGCUAUUAUCCUAAGGUGGUGUCUACACAAAACAAACACAUUCAAAAGAUGAGGAACCUGAAGGGUAAAUGUGAAGGUAGGAAGCAGUGAAGCAGGAAGAGGGAUUCAAACAUCAAAGAUCAUGUUUUGUAAGGUAUAAGUCAUAAACUGCUGUCCUCCUGGUUGGGAAAGAAACCGAUCAUAUUUUCCUCCUUCCAUGGGCUAUUUCUACUGAUUACUCACAGUGUUUAUUCUACCUGCCAAUGGGCUGUGAAGGCAUUACUCACUCUACCACCAGGCAGAGUGGCCAUACACAGAGCAGAGUCCUGCUGCAAAGUUCUGUUUGAACAAGACUUUCUCUUCUGCACCAAAGAAACCCAGUAGUAAUGCUACGGUUGAGACAUUCAAAGCUUGUAAUAGCCAUCUGUGAUGACCAUGAUAUGUAGCUCUUCCUCAGUUCUGUUUUUAAGUGCUGGGAAUUCUCUUUUAUUUCUGAAACAAUAAAAUCACCUUUCAAAUAAUACCAUUUGUUUCUGAUUGCACUCCUUUUAUAAAAUACAAAAUUACUGAUGAAGCAGUCCAGUUUACCGUAAUGCAGUUCAACACUGAAGCAACAUUGAGCAAAGAUGGUAAGUAUCACAACCCUGUUCACCCCAAGAAAUUGCAUAGGGUGUGCAAUGCAUAUCUGAUUUGUACUGUGGUUUUCAUACUCCGCUGUUGAAAAUUUACAGUAAAAAAACAAAUUAGUAAUUUUAAUUCUGAUUUUAAAUUGUUCAGAAAAGUCUAUACUGGAAUCCAUGCUGUGCAUCUGAAAUAUUCAGAUGGAGUUUAAUUGCCCACUUACUUUGUGAAAGGAAAGGAUAUCUCAUAGCCCCCUUGAUAGCUGAAAGGAAGCUAUCAAAGAUAUAGAAGAAAGAUUUCAUUGUAUUCCUCCCAGUAUUUUUAAACUUCCCUAUUCUUGAACCAAAGCAUAGACUUCUCUUGAUUAUCCGCUCAGACCAUUUAUAAUGAAUGUGUGCAGAUUAGGAGAAGAAAUCUCUUCUUCCCGGCUCUGCAAGCACUGAUCACAAUAGCAGUCACUAAGACCCAUAAUUUUCAGCUUCAUUCCCAAAGUUUUGCCAAGUUAUAUUUAACAGAUCUCAUAGUUAUACACAGCAGAAGUUGAUCCUCUCUCCUCUGAAGUGAACGCAGCAUCGAAGGGGAAGAACAGGGGGUAAGGAGUCGUCCCAAAAAUAAACCCUUUAAAAAAAAAAUCUGAUUUCUUAGCUUAACUGAGAAGUAACUAAACACUAGGUUUUAUAUAAAACUGCUUUAACAUAGGUGUGACUAUCUACGCAUCUUAUUGUAUAGGUUUAAGAAGAAUGGUGUGAUACCAAACUGGGUAUGUAUUCCAUAGGAAUGAAAUAUUUUGCCUAUGAUUUGUUGGGUUGUUUAGGGGUGGGGUGUUUUUUGUUUCUAUUGACUGCAGUCUUUGAAAACCACUGCUACGCAACCUUGAUAACGAUUAACCAAAUAUUUACUGAAAUAUCUGUUCAAAGAAUGCCCUUUGGAUGUCAGAGUGUUUUGAAGUAAGUAUUCUGCGAUUAAGAACAACAAAAUUUUAGUUCUUGGCCAUAUUAGGCAUUCAGUCAUAUUACAUCUCAUCAAGGGUCAAUAGUUUCUCUUUGGAAACUGUUCAUAGCUCUUUGUAGAGUUUUCCAGGACUUGAGUUGCAAUGGUAUUAUAUGGAUAUUUCUCCAUAUAAAAUGUGGUUGAAAUAUUGAAACUAGCUGAAAACCUGAAUCAAAUCUUCUGCUGUUGCAAAUGCAAAGCGACAGAAGUGUGACAUUUUGCAUCAUCUGAACUCACACCUGAUAUUAUUCUGAAACAGUCUGACUAUUAGUACUUAUUAUAGUUAUUUGUAUUACCACUAGCAUUUAUAGGUAUGUUUUACAUCACAUUUAUCAGAGAACGCAACUGUACAAAGAUGCAGAAUGCCCACAUUCAUCAUAUUCAAAAAGCUUACAGUAUCUAUUUCUGUGGGUGCUUAUGAAAUAUUUAUUUACUGCUGCACACAGCUGAUCUGGUUGUUGUUAGCUAGUCAUAUUGAUAAAGUUAUGAGAAACUAGUGGCAGUAGCAUACAUAAGACUGAGAGAAGCUUACUGGUUUAUGUAUUCAUGUGAUACUCUGUGCAGCUCUUGUUUACUCAGUAAAAGCCAAAACAUGCCUCAAUACAAACUGCUGUUUUCAACUCAGUCCCAAGAAUGUAAAGAAUUUAAUUUUUAAGAUUUAUAUGUCUUUCUUGUCCACAGGGAGCUGGAGCCCUAGCAGUCUAUCACUCUGAAUUCCAGGAUUGCUCUCCUAUUAUCUUAUGAAUAACACUCUCAGCCACAACACUGAUUUUUUUUUUUUUUUUCCAUAUUUCUUCUUUAUUUUUCUAUGGCAAGAAGCUCACAAAUACUUGUAAUUAAUUACCUACUGCAUUAAGAAUGAAACUAUAUCUGUUUAAGAGAAAACAGCAUGUUUAAAUCAAGUUAUAUUUUAUAAUAAUGUGGGGGGGGGGGCGGGACCACAAAAAAACCCCACCAAACAUGAACAGGUUUGAGACAACAGAAGUUGAUAGACUAACCUGUGGUUGGUGUCUGAUAUACGUUCUCCAUAUAAAAACAAAAAGUCUACAUGUAAAGUUGGUAAAGCCAUACCAAUAACUAUCUCCCGGAGGAAUAAAAUAAAAAGUGUGUUUAUGAUUCUAUAGCAAAUGGGACUUCUUGGCAAAUGGAGAUGAGGAAAUCUUAAAAAAAAAAAAAAUGCGGCAAAAUAUUUACUAUUAUAUUUCAAGCUAGACAAGGGACGACUGCAAAUUCAAGUGCCUUCAUCACAUCACAUUUUACUAAAGCUAUAUCCUGGUUGAUCAUGCAUAAACACUUUGCAGCAGUACUUAAAAGCCUGAACUGAACAGCUCACCACAGUGCCUGGAAUUUUAGUCACAUCAGCAGAGUUUGGAUCUUCAUUACCUGUCCACACAUUAUGCUGCAGGACAGUGAUGAUCUCUUCCGAUCUGCUGGAAGGUUUUGUAACUCUGGUGGUGAACUCAGUUCAGGCUUAUUUCCACCAGCGUCACUCAGGACAGAGUAUUUUCUGGUGGAGUCAAGUUAGCUUCCCAGUAGUCUCAUUUUGAGCAUUCUUCCCACUAGUCUUGAGCACCUACUCCAGUAGAGCCCCAGUCCUGUACAGAUAUGUCCUUUUUUUAUAUUCUGCUUAGUCUCACUGAAUUUGAGGAAACCUAAAUUUCUGCAGUUAUUGCCAUAUCCUCACAGCUCCUAUGUUUUACAACCAAUUCACCUAUGAUUUCAUUUUCUUCAAAGCAACAGUCAAACUUUUAAUUAGGCUAAAUAAAAUCAAUUGGGAUAGACAACAGCAAAAUGUAACAGCGUGUUUGAAUCUAAAUAGGACACUAUUUGGUCUACUGUCAAUGCUCUGAGCUAUCUGGUCUUUCAAGUCCUCUUGUCCCCCCCAAGAUUUACAAAUCACUCCAUCAGAACCUCCUUCAUUUGGGGGGGCAAGGGAGGGGAAAUAGGGGAUAAAUGUUUAGGAACUCGCCAUUGUGCAAAUUAAAUGUAUUUCACAUGAUUUGACCAUGAAUUUGGCUUGUGGAACUGAAGAGACUCCAGCUACCCCUUCCCCACAGAGUAGUGGCUUUCCUUAGCAUGUGUAUGUAUCUAAAGUUUCAGAGCUCAAGCCCCAGCUGUUCUUUGUACACAACCAAGCCAAAGUUCAUUAUUUCAAGACUUCAGUGACAUUCACUGAAUAGCCCAAAAUCCAGAAGUAAGCUCAAUUUUCAUUCACUUACUGUGAGGAAGAGACAUGAUUCAACUCACCACAGUCUAUGAGUUUUUCAAGACAGUGUGGUGAAGUUACGUAGACAACUUGGACUGAUUUUCAGUGGGGAUGAAUGCAGAACUUCCUUAGAAAGGGGUAAGCAAAGUCUGAGGGAUUGGGAAUUACCUGCUAAAUUAACCCUAUAUCUAUUCUUUCGAGGAGAAAAGCAUUAUGUUUUGCGUUUUUUUGUAGAGGUGGAUGAGAACAAAAACCUAGGUACAUUUAGAAACUUAUCCACAGUAAUCAAAGUAAUACCAAGGAUGUUCUGACCACUGCUUAUCUACUGUUUCUGUAUGAGAAGAAAUAUCAUUACAAAAGAUGGGAAAGGAAAUCUACCUCCCUUAGAAAUAGUUCUUAACCAAAUAUGUAUGUGAAAGUACUCUGUAAAUGUGAUUAGGAAACUUACGUUCUGACUUGUUAUUUAUCACUGCUAGAAUUAAGUCAUGCUUUUUUUCCUUUUAAGCCUCAAAGACACUGUCAACACCAAAAUCUUUAUGUUGCUUAAGAAAGAAUUAAACCACCUACUCACUUAAUUCAUUAUCAUUAUUUUGAAGAAUUUGAAUUUUAAUUUGAAGGCAAGCAUGGAAGCUCUUUCCCCCACCCCACCCCCCAGUCUAGUGCUGACACAAGCAAUAAAUCUGCUUCUGUUCUUUUGUAUUUCCAUUCUCAUCAAACCUCCAUAGCUCCUGGCUGUGGACUCAGAGUAAUUUGUUAUUGAAAGAUUGUUCCUUUGCUGUGCCUGAGACUUCUGUGAGGAAUCCACAUUAAUAGUUUCUGUGCAAGAACUGACCGUAAAUAGAGCGCCUAUUCUCAUUCUUAAAGACGCUGCUCUGGGCUGCAUUAUCAGAAUCUGUCUGACAAAGUCUAAACACACCUUUCAAAUGAAUAAUAUAGUCAUGCCAAAAACAUCUACAACAUUUUCCAUGGAGCUAGCUGAAUUGCUGGAUUACAAUCCUAGUAUGACAUGCCUACACAACUUGGUAAAUCUUCCAAAUAUAAUCAUGUUGGAGUUUGGGGUUUUUUUGCAACCAUAUGAUUUUUAUUUGCAGGUGAAACUGUAAAGUAAUUUACAUACAAAGCACAGAAUAUCAGCAAAUAAUAGAAACCAUAAAUUUCAAUAGAGCAAUAUCCAUUAAAAAGGAUCCUGUCCCUGUCCUCUUAGUUCAACCUACAUACUGUAAAUGAACUCAGAGCGUAACACAUUUUGAAGCAAUGGAAGUUUUAUGUACUAUCUUCUCUCAUAAUGUUGCCAGCUUCAAAUAUUCCUUAA